AAAUUUCUUAAUUGAUGGAAUAUAAGAGUUGAAAUCUCAAAUUUUCAGCACAAACUUGGCCACUAAAGGCCCAAAUCUGAGCCCAACUCGCUCAAGCUCAUACUCACUCUCCAUUUGACCUAACCUACUUCUUACUCCCCUUAAAAAAAAAGACUCCAUCCCUUCUUCACGAGGGACCAGCCGUUUUCUACACUUCAACACUACCAUUCAACUCCACAUAAUAUACACACAUAGAGGACGAUGAAGAAAUAGAUCUGGGACGUCUAAAAACAAAGAAAGAGUGGAGGAGGAUUGGGUCUUCUUCUCCAAAAACCCAACAACUUUCAGCUAUUAAAAGCUUUUCUUCUACUGUUAACGCAACUUUUCUCCUCCAUCCAAGCACCCACAUCUUCUCUUAAAAGCCACCAAUGCUUCGGCUAUGAGCACCCAAGUGAAGCAUCACUAAAAGGCACCAAAAACUCACCCAAAACGAGUUGAAAACACUGAGAAAAGCAGCUCCGAAACAGUUGCGUUGUUGCUGCCCAACAGCAACCAAACAACCAAGAAAUAGCUUCAAAAAUGCCAAAAAAAACAUGAAUACCCCAGUGAAAAUCAGCCAAAACUAACAUCGAAUCAAUCCCGAAACCAGAACAAGAAGUCCAAUGAAUAUAGAAAAACAUCUCAAAAUAUCCAUAAAGCUCAAUCCAAAAUCACUGAAACACCAUAAUAUUUGUCCAAGGUACAUUUACCUGAGUUUGAUCGGUUUCGAGGCUGUCGACGCGUUUCAUCAGCUUGAUUCAAAUCUUGUUGUGUUCUGCACAAAAUAGUUCGUUUGGAGCAUUUGUUAAUAAAGUCAGAAAGUAUUUACAUUAUUAAAAAUCCACUAUUUCUAUCUUUAGUUACUAUUUUUUAGUUGAAUAUUGUUUGUUAUUUGUUUCCGUUAAACCAUUUGAUUGCUUCAUUUGGUUAAAGAUUUUGAAGGAAUGUUAUAUUAUUUUUUUCAUAUUUCGUUCAUGAGAUUUAUUUGGUCAAUGAAUUUAUUUAUUUAUUUAAGAUAAAAGAUUAAAAUUGAGUUAAGUGUAUUUUUGUGAAAUGGACACCAUGAAGAGUUACGCUUGGC
This 1099-nucleotide long non-coding RNA is filed under the name Nicotiana benthamiana. RNAcentral describes it as "long non-coding RNA (NBEN_LNC009937)". Lineage: Eukaryota; Viridiplantae; Streptophyta; Magnoliopsida; Solanales; Solanaceae. The record is from RNAcentral.